GAUGAACGCUGGCGGCGUGCCUAAUACAUGCAAGUCGAGCGAACAGACGAGGAGCUUGCUCCUCUGACGUUAGCGGCGGACGGGUGAGUAACACGUGGAUAACCUACCUAUAAGACUGGGAUAACUUCGGGAAACCGGAGCUAAUACCGGAUAAUAUAUUGAACCGCAUGGUUCAAUAGUGAAAGACGGUUUUGCUGUCACUUAUAGAUGGAUCCGCGCCGCAUUAGCUAGUUGGUAAGGUAACGGCUUACCAAGGCGACGAUGCGUAGCCGACCUGAGAGGGUGAUCGGCCACACUGGAACUGAGACACGGUCCAGACCCCUACGGGAGGCAGCAGUAGGGAAUCGUCCGCAAUGGGCGAAAGCCUGACGGAGCAACGCCGCGUGAGUGAUGAAGGUCUUCGGAUCGUAAAACUCUGUUAUUAGGGAAGAACAAAUGUGUAAGUAACUAUGCACGUCUUGACGGUACCUAAUCAGAAAGCCACGGCUAACUACGUG
This 497-nucleotide ribosomal RNA is filed under the name uncultured bacterium. RNAcentral's name for it is "partial 16S ribosomal RNA". It matches the Rfam family "Bacterial small subunit ribosomal RNA", at positions 28 to 507 of the family's 1533-position model. The record is from RNAcentral.